RNAcentral lists this ribosomal RNA (566 nucleotides) under Aspergillus niger. Its description in RNAcentral is "eukaryotic LSU rRNA". The stretch from base 192 to 345 matches the Rfam family "5.8S ribosomal RNA". The record is from RNAcentral. Lineage: Eukaryota; Fungi; Ascomycota; Eurotiomycetes; Eurotiales; Aspergillaceae.
CAUUACCGAGUGCGGGUCCUUUGGGCCCAACCUCCCAUCCGUGUCUAUUGUACCCUGUUGCUUCGGCGGGCCCGCCGCUUGUCGGCCGCCGGGGGGGCGCCUCUGCCCCCCGGGCCCGUGCCCGCCGGAGACCCCAACACGAACACUGUCUGAAAGCGUGCAGUCUGAGUUGAUUGAAUGCAAUCAGUUAAAACUUUCAACAAUGGAUCUCUUGGUUCCGGCAUCGAUGAAGAACGCAGCGAAAUGCGAUAACUAAUGUGAAUUGCAGAAUUCAGUGAAUCAUCGAGUCUUUGAACGCACAUUGCGCCCCCUGGUAUUCCGGGGGGCAUGCCUGUCCGAGCGUCAUUGCUGCCCUCAAGCCCGGCUUGUGUGUUGGGUCGCCGUCCCCCUCUCCGGGGGGACGGGCCCGAAAGGCAGCGGCGGCACCGCGUCCGAUCCUCGAGCGUAUGGGGCUUUGUCACAUGCUCUGUAGGAUUGGCCGGCGCCUGCCGACGUUUUCCAACCAUUCUUUCCAGGUUGACCUCGGAUCAGGUAGGGAUACCCGCUGAACUUAAGCAUAUCAUUAA